Molecule: long non-coding RNA, 468 nt
Organism: Brassica rapa (field mustard)
Lineage: Eukaryota; Viridiplantae; Streptophyta; Magnoliopsida; Brassicales; Brassicaceae
Source: RefSeq, a predicted model, not a curated record
CUUGUUGACAAACAAAACAUGCGGAAAAGAAAGGGAAAUACUAUGAUCGAUUGUUUGCUUUCUCUCCAAGAAACUCACGAAACUCAACAUGACUAUUACACGGAUAUCGUCAUCAAGGGAUUCGUAGUCGUAACUCGUUGUGUGUAAAGCUCGUCCCAUUGUCCCAAACAUUCUCGACGCUUCCAUUUGAGAUUAAAAUCGCUGAUGUUUUCAGUUGUAUUUGAAACUUCAUAUGUAUUUGCUUCAUCCCCAACGUACUUUUCGUUUCUUAUUUAUGGUUUUUGGUUUUAUUAUUACUAGACAAUGAAUUCUCAACCUUUAUGUCCAGUAAUGGUCGUGUAGACUAAAUCAAACAGUAAUAAGCACAUAAAAGUGUAUAUUAUUACAGAAAACAAACAUAAAUAUACAUGGUACAUGCCAAGAAGGUUACUGAAAGAGUGAUACAGACUAACUGGAUGUAAAUAAACA